This 391-nucleotide unclassified non-coding RNA is filed under the name soil metagenome. Its description in RNAcentral is "partial contains 5.8S ribosomal RNA, internal transcribed spacer 2, and large subunit ribosomal RNA". The stretch from base 1 to 122 matches the Rfam family "5.8S ribosomal RNA", at positions 35 to 154 of the family's 154-position model. The record is from RNAcentral.
GAUGAAGAACGUAGCGAAAUGCGAUACUUGGUGUGAAUUGCAGAAUCCCGUGAACCAUCGAGUCUUUGAACGCAAGUUGCGCCCGAAGCCACUAGGCCGAGGGCACGCCUGCCUGGGCGUCACACGUCGUUGCCCCCCCAUCUACUCCUUCGGGAUUGCGGGGGGGCGGAUGAUGGCCUCCCGUGCGCCUAGCCGCGCGGUUGGCAUAAAUACCAAGUCCUCGGCGACGCACGCCACGACAAUCGGUGGUUGCGAAACCUCGGUUGCCCGUCGUGUGCGUUCGUCGCGCAUCGAGGGCUCGAAAAAAUGCUCGGCUUCGGCUCAGCUUUCAACGCGACCCCAUGUCAGGCGGGGUUACCCGCUGAAUUUAAGCAUAUCAAUAAGCGGAGGA